GGGGUCGUCUUGGCUUCGACAGGAAUAAAAGUCCUUAUCUUGCAGGUCGGGUGUCUACGUUACAGACAAAAUAAAAAUAACUGGAAACAGAAAUAAUUUAGCGGUUGCAUACGCCUAAGCUGGCGGUAACCACUUCCCUACUUUUUUGCUUACGAAAAGUAUCGAAGUUCAUAAAGUAAGCUACGGUAUAUCCCAUUUCUAUAAGAUAUAUUGAGUUUUAUUAGGAUAGUAAAUAUUACUUUUGUUAAUUUAUAAGAUAUUUAUGAAUUUUUAAAAUUAACUAAACCUGUAGAUAGAUAUCGUAUGAUUAUUUUUGGACAGGGGUUCAACUCCCCUCGACUCCACCA
RNAcentral lists this transfer-messenger RNA (347 nucleotides) under bovine gut metagenome. It matches the Rfam family "transfer-messenger RNA". Rfam says of the family: Bacterial tmRNA, also known as 10Sa RNA or SsrA, is named for its dual tRNA and mRNA-like properties. The record is from RNAcentral.